Corylus avellana is the source of this 480-nucleotide non-coding RNA. Lineage: Eukaryota; Viridiplantae; Streptophyta; Magnoliopsida; Fagales; Betulaceae. The record is from RefSeq and is a predicted model, not a curated record.
GUUUAUUUGGGCGUGGAUGUUUCUUGUUUCCCCAUUUGGCUAGUCGCUCUCAAUUUUCUUCCACACAAAAUUGAGAGGAAGAGCAUUCUGAGUAGUCUGAAUCAAGAACCCCCACAAUAUCUCUCGAUUCUUCAAGAAGACUUCAAGCUACAGGACAACUGUUAAAUUUUUCCCUCUUUGAUCCUAAUUGUCGAAUCUGCAACUGUAAGCCACAACCCGCAUCCAGAUACAACAACAUACUGACUCUGUCACUCUAAGAAGAGAUGGAGGAGGAAGAUGUGAACAACCUUGAACCAGUUGAGGUAGAAGAGUAUGAAAACAAGGAUUCAUUUGGAAUUAGUAAUGAUGUUAUUGCUGCUAACCUAGAAAAAAUUGGGGACCCGGUUGUAGAUUCUGCCAUUAAUGAAGUUGUUAAUCAAGAAGAUCCAUUGGAUGCUUAUCAAAAAAAGAAGAGGGCGAAGACUUCUAAGGUUUGGAAAG